CCUUAGCUGGCUCAGUCUGUAGAGCAGGUGACUUUUGAUCUCAGGGUCAUGAGUUCAAGCCUCAUGCUGGA
RNAcentral lists this transfer RNA (71 nucleotides) under Felis catus (domestic cat). It matches the Rfam family "tRNA". From Rfam's summary of the family: Transfer RNA (tRNA) molecules are approximately 80 nucleotides in length. Lineage: Eukaryota; Metazoa; Chordata; Mammalia; Carnivora; Felidae. RNAcentral also lists the same sequence under 4 other names. The record is from Rfam by way of RNAcentral.